CAAUAGCGUAUAUUAUAGUUGUUGCAGUUAAAAGCUCGUAGUUGGACUUCUGAUGUUGGGAUUCGGUCCACCGCAAGGUGAGCACUUGAUGUCCUGAUGUCUUCCUCUCGUAGUUGUUUGGCGCACUUGAUUGGGUGCCGAAUGAAUAUGGGACCUUUACUUUGAAAAAUUAGAGUGUUCAAAGCAGGCGAUCGCUUGAAUACAUUAGCAUGGAAUAAUAGAAUAGGACUUUGGUUCUAUUUUGUUGGUUUCUAGGACCGAAGUAAUGAUUAAUAGGGACAGUUGGGGCGAUUAUAUUUAAUUGUCAGAGGUGAAAUUACUUGGAGUUUAUUGAAAGAACUAACUAACUGCGAAAGACAUUUGUCCAA
Molecule: ribosomal RNA, 368 nt
Filed under: uncultured eukaryote
Lineage: Eukaryota
Description: SSU rRNA
Rfam family: Eukaryotic small subunit ribosomal RNA
Source: RNAcentral